This 257-nucleotide ribosomal RNA is filed under the name uncultured Glomeromycotina. Its description in RNAcentral is "partial 18S ribosomal RNA". It matches the Rfam family "Eukaryotic small subunit ribosomal RNA", at positions 624 to 886 of the family's 1831-position model. Lineage: Eukaryota; Fungi; Glomeromycota. The record is from RNAcentral.
AAGCUCGUAGUUGAAUUUCGGGAUCAAUUUAUUGGUCGUGCAAUAGUACGUACUGGUAUUAUUGAUUCCUACCUUCUGACGAACCAUGAUGUCAUUAAUUUGGUGUCAUGGGGAAUCAGGACUGUUACUUUGAAAAAAUUAGAGUGUUUAAAGCAGGCUCACGCUUGAAUACAUUAGCAUGGAAUAACGAAAUAGGACGUUUGAUUCUAUUUUGUUGGUUUCUAGGAUCGACGUAAUGAUUAAUAGGGAUAGUUGGG